Macrobrachium nipponense is the source of this 428-nucleotide long non-coding RNA. RefSeq lists it as uncharacterized. The transcript has 4 exons. NCBI's taxonomy places the organism in Eukaryota, Metazoa, Arthropoda, Malacostraca, Decapoda, Palaemonidae. The record is from RefSeq and is a predicted model, not a curated record.
GACUGGCAUGCACCUGUGACUUACAUAAACCAGACCUCUACAUAGCCUACAUGUCUUCAUUUUGCUGGAGACUGCCCAUCAUCCUAGCCUGUUAUCUGUGAUAAAGCACACUGAAGUUAGGUUUGGAAUGCAUCCUUAUCAUGAAUGCUCUACACCUCCACCUCCAUCUCCCACAACCUAGGUAACAGCUUUGAGACUCACUAAAAGUUGAACCCCCUGAAUGAUGUAGGCUAUGGGGCCACAUAAGACUUUGUCCAUCCAGGGUUACGAUGAAUGUAAAAUAUAAACUAAAGAACCAACAUUUUUCACACAACUCCAGGUUGUUACUACAAGUGUCAUCAAGGGAUAACUACUACAAGUAGAAGCACCAUUUUUGGAUGGAAAAAACCCUUCAGGAAAGUAUACCCCGUAUCACAUGUAACAUGUAG